AUUUUAGUUAGGCAGAGUCUACGUGGUUGUCCACGUGACAAUUUAGUACUUUCGUUCCUUUCUCCUGUCUCUCUCCAUCUCUUUCUCUAUCUCUAUCUAACAUCUCACUAACCACCACACAAAUCCGGCCAGACGAUUCGGGUGAAGUGACGAAGGCGGCGAACAUAAGCUUCAUCUUCGGCACCGAUCGGUCCUGUAAAAAUUGUUUGUUGACUUCGCCGUGACGAAAAGGGUGUCGUGUUGGCUUCUUCAUCCUUAGAAUUUUUUUUUUUUUUUUUUUUCUUUCAGGUCGGUGUUGUUGCUGUGGUCUGUAGUGAUGAGUUGAGACUGUGUUCGUAGCGAGUCGCCGGUUUAGUUGUAAUUGAUGCUUGCAAGUCUCGUUUUCCCCAAGAGCAGAGGAGACAAAUUAGGCGAGGUUAGUAAACGCAAGUUUAUCGGUGACUCCAUCCAUGACCAAAUCGGGAAACAACAUGAUCGGCGGCAAGCAAGUCUGAAAGAAAGACAAGGAAUGGGGGAAGCGCUUACGAUGAAGUUGAAAGCAACGACCGAAGCAAUAGAGACGUAGAACAUAGAAGGACUUGGGGGCUAUCAAUCAAAGUAGCUAAAGGAUGCCGGAUCGGGAAGCGACAUGAUCGGCGGCGAGCAAGUCUGAAGGGGUUCAGAGCACUAAUUUCACCCUCUUGUAUUGUUGGGGUGGUUCUGCUUCACCCUCUUUUGAGCCUCUUUGCACUCGGUCCCCGAUCACUGUCGGAAAAGAGAAUCGACGAUCGCUGCCUUGUCAGUGUACCAUUGUCACCGGAAUAGAAUCUCGUCGCCGAGUUGUGAGUUGGAUUUGCUGUUGCGGCCGCGAUUUGUCUGUGCUAGCUUCGCCUUGUUGUGAUAGCUAGCUUCGUUGUCGCCGUUGUUGUCGUGGCCUCCCAGUUGGUGAGCCGCGUUUUGUUGUCUGAGAUAUGAGAAUGCGAAGACGAAGAGUGUGUUUGGUUACAGGGUUUGUUCGUCUAUCGCCAGCGUGGACUGCCACUUAGGAUUCUGCCUAUGAUUCUGCAUCGGCCUGAGUAUCAUGACCCAUAUAUAUAUAUAUAUAUAUUGGGUAAUUAAUUAAUUAAGCUUCUCUCUAUGGGUUCAAUUGAUUAUUGCUGCUCGUGAUCGUACCAUUUGUUCUGUUCAUCAAGCGCUCCAAUGCUUUCUAGAGACGAGCAUUGGUGAUUGGAAAAUUUAUUUGAGAAAAGAUUCUUUUAUUCUCCCCCUUGUGGUAUCUUUAAUUUUAUCUCAGGAUUAUGAAAUUGUUGAAAUGGUGAUUUGGUUAUUGACUUAUUGCUGUUGGUAGAAAUGGAUUUUAAUGUUUACUGCGAUUUUCCACCUCUGGUAUUUUUUGAGUGUUAUACUUCCGUAUAAUUUUAGUUGUUGGUCAGUUGUGGUUUUGGCCUUUCAUUGUAUGGUGUCUCUCUUUCUCUUACUUAAUGUCGUAAUUUGUUUCAGUGAGCAAGCCCCAUCUAAGUCAAGAAACAAUAGUGGAAAACCAUCCAUGGACGUGGCUUAGUCAAGAUUGUGGCAUAAAGAUAUAAUGGGAGUGCCUACAUAGCAACAGAAUUGAUGAUCUGGUGCUGUUGCUAUGCCUAAAGAUUUUUUCGGUGCACGAGAUAGAAGAGAAGGAAGAGUCCAUCAGGAUCAGAUAGAGGCAAAUUUUCCAGGAUCAGAUUAAAAGGUCUUGAUAAAAAGGGCAAAAACCCAGUGCACGAAGCUCCUGCCCUUGUCAGAUGAACGCAACCUUAACUCCGCAUGUGGAGAGGUUGUUUUCUUGUUUUGAACCCGCAAUGGCGGUAAAAGGUUAUUAAGGAGCUUAUAGAGAUUAGCAGGAGGAAUUCUUGGGCAGAACUUGUUCACAACAAACUUAUUUGCAUGCUAACAAAUAUGUUUUUAUCAAAUUCCUGAUGAGGCUCUUUCAAGUGCCCCAAUUUUUCUUGCUGAGCGCAGGUUGAUUUGAUUGGAGGAAUCGAUAUUAUUUUCAUCGAGUUAGUGCUCUCAAACUCGAGGGAGGGGAGGAGAAACCUAUAUCUGGUGCUUUUUGACUAUUUCAUGCAAUGAGGAGAGGUGCAUAGCUGCGGGUGUCUGAAUAUAGUGAUGGUGAGAUUCAAUCCAUUACCAAGUAAACGAGAGGUGCAUAGCUGCAGGUGUCUCUGAAUAUAGUGAUGAUGAGAUUCAAUCCAUUACCACCUUGCUGACUCUUGCCGAUGCACCUGAAGCUGUUUAUGUUUCUGUUAAGCUUGGUGUGGAAGGAAUUGGGGAGAUUUUGAGAAGAUCAAUUCCUAAUCAAUUGUCUAAAUAUCCUAACAGGGAUCGACUUAAAUGUGGUAAUUCUUUAAUUAAUGUUCUUCAUGUGCUCGUUGCCUUGUUGGUGUAUGCUAUAAUUCUUGUAGCUUGGGUUGAAAGAUUUUGGGAGACUUUUGAGAGAAUAAAUUCUGCUGCGUUGAGUAUGUAAUCAAAUAUUGUAUCGCCUUUUAUGUGAAUGUGACUUUGUGAGCACAAGAACUCGUUUUUUGUA
Long non-coding RNA from Cornus florida, 2542 nucleotides. RefSeq lists it as uncharacterized. The transcript is spliced from 6 exons. NCBI's taxonomy places the organism in Eukaryota, Viridiplantae, Streptophyta, Magnoliopsida, Cornales, Cornaceae. The record is from RefSeq and is a predicted model, not a curated record.